Molecule: ribosomal RNA, 431 nt
Filed under: uncultured bacterium
Lineage: Bacteria
Description: bacterial SSU rRNA
Rfam family: Bacterial small subunit ribosomal RNA
Source: RNAcentral
GAUGAACGCUAGCGGCAGGCCUAACACAUGCAAGUCGAGCGCCCCGCAAGGGGAGCGGCGGACGGGUGAGUAACGCGUGGGAACGUGCCCUCUUCUACGGAAUAGCCUCGGGAAACUGGGAGUAAUACCGUAUACGCCCUUAGGGGGAAAGAUUUAUCGGAGGAGGAUCGGCCCGCGUUGGAUUAGGUAGUUGGUGGGGUAAUGGCCUACCAAGCCGACGAUCCAUAGCUGGUUUGAGAGGAUGAUCAGCCACACUGGGACUGAGACACGGCCCAGACUCCUACGGGAGGCAGCAGUGGGGAAUCUUAGACAAUGGGCGCAAGCCUGAUCUAGCCAUGCCGCGUGAGUGAUGAAGGCCCUAGGGUUGUAAAGCUCUUUCAGCUGGGAAGAUAAUGACGGUACCAGCAGAAGAAGCCCCGGCUAACUCCGUG